This 166-nucleotide small RNA is filed under the name Robbsia andropogonis. RNAcentral's name for it is "Burkholderia andropogonis Manganese sequence". It matches the Rfam family "Manganese Mn2+ riboswitch aptamer (yybP-ykoY)". From Rfam's summary of the family: This RNA was originally discovered in E. coli during a large scale screen and was named SraF. The family was later found to exist upstream of related families of protein genes in many bacteria, including the the yybP and ykoK genes in B. subtilis. The record is from RNAcentral. Lineage: Bacteria; Pseudomonadati; Pseudomonadota; Betaproteobacteria; Burkholderiales; Burkholderiaceae.
CGCGCCGUCUUUAGGGAGUAGCCUGCCUCCUGCAAUGGGGGGCGGACACGUCAACAUUCUCGGCGCUUGCCGUGGCGUGUCCAACCAACCGGUUUGGCGAGACUAUCGACGCUGAUCUUGUCCAGGGCUGGGCGGGAGGUCGGCGUCAUGGUUUCGCACCGUCCGG